This 227-nucleotide unclassified non-coding RNA is filed under the name uncultured Basidiomycota. Its description in RNAcentral is "sequence contains ITS1". Lineage: Eukaryota; Fungi; Basidiomycota. The record is from RNAcentral.
UUGAUUUUAAUGAAGAGUGUUUGGUUGUAGCUGGCCCAUUAAUUUGGGCAUGUGCACGCCUGCCUCUUUCAUCCACACACACCUGUGCACUUGUGAGACAGAUAGGGAAUUUUCUUACUCUAUUUUUGGAAACAGAAAUAAGUAAUGAUUUGAACCUCUCUGUCUACUUAAUUCACAUAUACUCAAUUUAUUUUAAAAUGAAUGUAAAGGAUGUAACACAUCUAAUA